RNAcentral lists this ribosomal RNA (582 nucleotides) under Hammondia heydorni. RNAcentral's name for it is "LSU rRNA". It matches the Rfam family "Eukaryotic large subunit ribosomal RNA", at positions 419 to 935 of the family's 3401-position model. The record is from RNAcentral. Lineage: Eukaryota; Apicomplexa; Conoidasida; Eucoccidiorida; Sarcocystidae.
GCGAUUGGGACCCUUCCGAUUCCAAGAAGUGCCGCCGGUUGCCAUCUAUCCCUUUGCCUUCUCUCUCUCACCAGGUUUAGGCUUAGGUUUCUCGAUGUAUUUCCGGUUAAUCUUUUUGGAGAGGUCAGCAUCAGCUACUCGGAAUUGAUUUCGUUCAAAGAAGGUAGGUUCCUUGUGGACCCUUAUAUCUUUGUUCUUUCCUUUUCCUUGUGGCUGAGGAGUGUUUUGGUUUCCGAGCUCCACUUUCGAGUACUCGGUUUCUGUGAUGCUGGCUUAAUCGGUUCCAACCGACCCGUCUUGAAACACGGACCAAGGAGUCUAACAUAUGUGCGAGUAUGCGGGUUUUACUCCUGUAUGCGCAAUGAAAGUGAGAGUAGGGAGAUUUUGGCUUUGCCAUUCUUCGCACCUACGACCGACCACGAUCUCUGAGAGAGGUUUGAGUUGGAGCAUAUCUGUUAGGACCCGAAAGAUGGUGAACUAUGCCUGAGUAGAAUGAAGUCAGGGGAAACCCUGAUGGAGGUUCGUAGCGAUACUGACGUGCAAAUCGUUCGUCAAACUUGGGUAUAGGGGCGAAAGACUAAU